This is a long non-coding RNA of Drosophila innubila, 419 nucleotides long. RefSeq lists it as uncharacterized. The record is from RefSeq and is a predicted model, not a curated record. The transcript has 2 exons. NCBI's taxonomy places the organism in Eukaryota, Metazoa, Arthropoda, Insecta, Diptera, Drosophilidae.
CUACUUCAUCAUUUAGGGUACUGUAGAUCUGUAUCCAGUUGCAUUUGUGAAAGAGUCGAGAAAAGUCGGAAUGUGCUCUAAGCUUCAAUAUAUUAUUCUACUACUCAGCUUUUUGGCUGUGUGCAUUCGCUUAACAUUAUGUGAUGAUGGGCCAGUUCCUGAAGUCAUUACUGAAAGCGAGCCUCCGUAUACAACAGCAGAUGUCUUUGAUUUUUAAGUUAAAAAGUCAAGAUGACAGUUUGAGAUAUGGAUAUAGAUACCAAGCGGAAAUGAAUAAAUAUUGUUAAAAUAGUAAAAGUCUGUUAAAUAAUGCUAAUAGAAACCAUAAACCGACUAUGCUUCGUCGUAGUCUUAGACACAACUACAAGCAAACAACUACAAACUGGUUUAAUAUAAUUAUUUGGCCAAAUUCAAGUUCA